AGCAGCCGCGGUAAUUCCAGCUCCAAUAGCGUAUAUUAAAGUUGUUGCAGUUAAAAAGCUCGUAGUUGAAUUUCGGGAUCAAUGCGUCGGUCGUGCUUUCGGGUACGUACUGGUGUCAUUGGUUUCUCCUUUCUGACGAGCCGUGAUGUCAUUAAUUUGGUGUUACGGGUAGUUAGGACUGUUACUUUGAAAAAAUUAGAGUGUUUAAAGCAAGCUAACGCUUGAAUACAUUAGCAUGGAAUAAUGAAAUAGGACGUUCGAUCCUAUUUUGUUGGUUUCUAGGAUUGACGUAAUGAUUAAUAGGGAUAGUUGGGGGCAUUAGUAUUCAAUUGUCAGAGGUGAAAUUCUUGGAUUUAUUGAAGACUAACUACUGCGAAAGCAUUUGCCAAGGAUGUUUUCAUUAAUCAAGAACGAAAGUUAGGGGAUCGAAGACGAUCAGAUACCGUCGUAGUCCUAACCAUAAACUAUGCCGACUAGGGAUCGGAUGAUGUUAAUUUUUUAAUGACUCAUUCGGCGCCUU
Molecule: ribosomal RNA, 520 nt
Filed under: uncultured Glomus
Lineage: Eukaryota; Fungi; Glomeromycota; Glomeromycetes; Glomerales; Glomeraceae
Description: SSU rRNA
Rfam family: Eukaryotic small subunit ribosomal RNA
Source: RNAcentral